UAUAGAUCAUAUAUGUACGUAUGUGUGUACACAGGCAUCUAACAUUUAAAUAGCGCGCCGUGAAUGUCGAUAUCUCGAAACUGUCGUUGCUCGUACUUCAUAAUUAAAGUUUUGAGUCAUGCAACGGUUAAUAAUUCGUUGCUACAACUUGUGAUGUAGUUUUGUUUCAAGUAAUGAAGGAGAUACAGUAAGAGGAUCAUCACAAAAAGAACUACACAAAUUAUAAAAAAAAUUUUUUAUUCUCAUUUUUGCACAAGUCCUGCAUUGCGAAGAACGUUAUAUACUUUCUCUCGUGGGAUUUUAUCCGUUUCACGAUCAAUUACCUACGACAAAAAAAAGAAGUACUGUACAUGCACUGACUUAUUACUUACAGAGUAUAUCAGAUAUGUAUAUUGUGGUAUGUACGAAUUCAUAAGGAAAUGUGAUAUGCAGCGAAAGGUAUUCUCAGAUUUCAGAACUAAAUCCAACAACCUCGUUUCAAAAUCGACCUACCACCACGUUUCCCAUUUUAAUUUCAUUCAUAUUUUCAUAGAGGAAAAUAUAUUACAGAAGAGGAACGUUAAAAUUAACGGGGAAUUUUUUUUACCUGCGUCUCUUUAUUCAAAAGCCAUGAUUCCUUCGCGAGUCUGGCGGCGAUUAGCGGAUUUUUAUAAAAGUCAUUUCGCAAUUCAUUCGGCAGGGUGUCUUCGACUGCCGAGUUCAGUACAUUCGCCGGAUGUUGAUACAAGAAUCCUGAGGGAAUGUAAUACUGUGGAACGGCCGCGCAUAAUCCCACCGCUAUCGUGAACGUGAUUAUUGUAUUCAUGUUCACGUAAAAUUCUGCAAAAGAACAGGCUCCAACCAAUUUAAGGUAAUACAUAUAUUUCAAAACUAAACAACACAUCGAUUGGUAUCAUUUUCUCUUAGAAUGAUCUUGAAAGAUGAAAACAUGAAUUAUCUACAUCAACUAUUCUUAUCCUAACUAUUCUUAUCCUUUUUUACAUUGACAAGAGUAAGCAAGAUAUUGGUAUAAGAAACAUUUAAAUCUUUUACAUAGAUCUACAAUCUACAACAGAGAUAAUCAGAUAACAGAGAGCAUCAAGAAAUUAGGAUCGCAAAUUGUCAAACAAUUUAAUGAUAAUACUCAUAAGCUGGUGAGAUUGUCUUCUGAUAAACUGG
Molecule: long non-coding RNA, 1158 nt
Organism: Frieseomelitta varia
Lineage: Eukaryota; Metazoa; Arthropoda; Insecta; Hymenoptera; Apidae
Exons: 4
Source: RefSeq, a predicted model, not a curated record